UCCGUGUGAUACGGUGACCGUGCUUUGCUUUUCGCCUCAUGUCUUUCUUAUUCAGGUGGCUAUAGCGCCGGGGCUCCACCUCUUCCCAUUCCGAACAGAGAAGUUAAGCCCGGCCGCGCCGAUGGUACUGCGUAACAGUGGGAGAGUAGGUAGCCGCCACUU
RNAcentral lists this ribosomal RNA (162 nucleotides) under Bacteroides zoogleoformans. Lineage: Bacteria; Pseudomonadati; Bacteroidota; Bacteroidia; Bacteroidales; Bacteroidaceae. The record is from RNAcentral.